Molecule: ribosomal RNA, 761 nt
Filed under: uncultured bacterium
Lineage: Bacteria
Description: bacterial SSU rRNA
Rfam family: Bacterial small subunit ribosomal RNA
Source: RNAcentral
GAGUUUGAUCAUGGCUCAGAACGAACGCUGGCGGCGUGCUUAAUACAUGCAAGUCGAACGUGAUUCCCGACUUCGGUUGGGAUGAAAGUGGCGAACGGGUGAGUAACACGUAAGUAAUCUGCCUUCAAGUUUGGGAUAACCCUGCCAACGCGGGGCUAAUACCGGAUGUGGUCCAGCAGACCCAUGUUUGCGGGAUUAAAGGUCGCGAGACCGCUUGGAGAUGAGCUUGCGGCCCAUUAGCUAGUUGGUGAGGUAACGGCCCACCAAGGCAGGGAUGGGUAGCCGGCCUGAGAGGGUGUACGGCCACAUUGGGACUGAGAUACGGCCCAGACUCCUACGGGAGGCAGCAGUAGGGAAUUUUGCGCAAUGGACGGAAGUCUGACGCAGCAACGCCGCGUGAAGGAUGAAGGCCUUCGGGUUGUAAACUUCUGUUGGAUGGGAAAAAAAGCCUUUUAAGAGGAAUUGAUGGUACCAUUCGAGUAAGCACCGGCUAACUACGUGCCAGCAGCCGCGGUAAUACGUAGGGUGCAAGCGUUGUUCGGAAUCACUGGGCGUAAAGAGAGCGUAGGCGGGAUUGUAAGUUAGAAGUUUAAUACAUGGGCUCAACCCGUGGUCUGCUUUUAAUACUGCGAUUCUUGAGUAUGGGGGAGGGCGAUGGAAUUCCAGGUGUAGCGGUGGAAAUGCGUAGAUAUCUGGAAGAACACCAGUAGCGAAAGCGGUCGCCUGGCCCAAUACUGACGCUGAGCUCGAAAGCUGGGGGA